Molecule: long non-coding RNA, 700 nt
Organism: Nylanderia fulva
Lineage: Eukaryota; Metazoa; Arthropoda; Insecta; Hymenoptera; Formicidae
Source: RefSeq, a predicted model, not a curated record
UUAGCAGGAGGCGGCGUGGAAGUGUCAAAAAUACGCCGUUUUGUCCAUUCUCUUGCUGCGUUUUAGUUCUGUGACGUAAACUGACCGCCUACACACGUGCAUUACUUCGCAUUAUUUGUACACGAGAACGUAGAGCUGUGUUUGUGUCGAAGAUCAAGAGAACUGUCAAAAACAGCGGAUAAUGAUGCAGAAAAUUCAGUUUGACGAAGUAUAUAUCGAAGUAUACUACAGCGAGGCAUUGAGACAUCUGUAAAACUUGUAGACCUGAUGAUCAUGCGAAGGAUGCCUUCUGAAAUUUUUCUGGGAAAUGGUGGAACUCUACAUCGUUCCUUGAUGUUUAUACUGAAACUUGGUUGGCAAUCAAGAUUUCGUUUGCCAGUGCUUCUGGUCAUUGUCUUUGUCGCCAUGGACUACAGAUUACAAUUAGAAAUUGAAUUUGGUGACAAUGCGGACCAACAUAAUCAUUUAUAAUUUUAACAGAGAACAGAUAAAUGCAUAAGACUGUUACUUUAUAUAUAUUUAACACAUGCGCAUAAUAUAUACAAAAGAUUUAGAAAGUAUAAACAUGAACUAUGUAUUUAUUUAAACAACAUCCAAUGUAAGACAUUAUGAACUGUUGACAAAUGUUAGUAGACUACAUAUUUUAUAAGCGCAUCUAUUCACACAUGGAACAUUUUGCUCAGUACUUGUCGAUUUUUAA